CUAAUGGCCGCUUCCAGGAAGGCUCCGUCACGUGGCACCUCUUAGCCUCGGCGCCCCAACUCCGGGAAGGGGCAGUUUCCAAUCGGAUACGCUCCACACGCACAUCCUUCCUUUGAAACCUUCAGCCCUCAAGAUCCGGAGAUAACCUGGAAGAUCCCAACAUCAUGACCUCAGUUUCAACACAGUUGUUCUUGGUCGUCAUUUCACUGCUUUUGGUGCUGCCGGUGGUUGAAGCAGUAGAAGCUGGAGAUGCAAUCGCUCUCCUGUUAGGUGUGGCUCUCAGCAUUACAGGCAUUUGUGCCUGUUUGGGCGUCUAUGCACGAAAGAGGAAUGGACAAAUGUGAUUUUGAUGGGCCUUCUGAAUCAGACCUUGCCCGGAAAACCUUUGUGUUAUUGAGGUUAAAAACUGAGCUUUAGUGUCUAGAAGAUCCCACGAAAUAGGGUAUUUUCACAUUCUUAAUUAUCUCCCUGUAAGUGGGAACAAAUUGAUACGUGUUCAGUGGUGGUGGGGGGGGGUUCAUCACAACAAAUAAUACACUGAAAAAAGUAGUCUAUAAUUCAUAUGUGCUAGUUAGAAAAAGGGUCAAAGAAGUCAGAUGACUGAAAUUUUCAUAUUAUUUCAUAGUUUCAGAGUUUUCAAAGUGAAAUAGGAAGAAGGAAACCCUUACCCAGAAUCCUAGGAAAUUGCCCGUGCCUCCUCCAUCACUGAGGAGUCUUUUCUCCACAUUUUUAUUAGUUUUUCGUUCUGUUAUCUCCCAAAUUAAUGUUGUAUUUAGAUAUUAAAUACAGUCAGUCAGAGAUUAAAAUUUUUAUUUCUUGGGGGAGAAGUAAGAAAAAUGUAUUCAAUGUAUCUAAUAUUGAAAUGAAGAAAAUAUUUAAUGUAAAAAAGUUACUUUAUAUUGACAUUGAAAUGGAGACGAGAUUUAAUGUAAAAAAAAAAAGCUUUAUACUAACUGAGUUAACAUUUCCAUCAUGAGAAGUACUAUGUUAAAUAUAAACCCAUUAUGUUUUAAGUUAA
Molecule: long non-coding RNA, 1018 nt
Filed under: Canis lupus familiaris (dog)
Lineage: Eukaryota; Metazoa; Chordata; Mammalia; Carnivora; Canidae
Description: lncRNA (ENSCAFG00845005771.1)
Source: RNAcentral